Molecule: transfer RNA, 76 nt
Filed under: Bifidobacterium cuniculi
Lineage: Bacteria; Bacillati; Actinomycetota; Actinomycetes; Bifidobacteriales; Bifidobacteriaceae
Also listed under: 1 other name
Description: tRNA-Arg
Rfam family: tRNA
About the family: Transfer RNA (tRNA) molecules are approximately 80 nucleotides in length. Their secondary structure includes four short double-helical elements and three loops (D, anti-codon, and T loops). Further hydrogen bonds mediate the characteristic L-shaped molecular structure. tRNAs have two regions of fundamental functional importance: the anti-codon, which is responsible for specific mRNA codon recognition, and the 3' end, to which the tRNAs corresponding amino acid is attached (by aminoacyl-tRNA synthetases). tRNAs cope with the degeneracy of the genetic code in two manners: having more than one tRNA (with a specific anti-codon) for a particular amino acid; and 'wobble' base-pairing, i.e. permitting non-standard base-pairing at the 3rd anti-codon position.
Source: RNAcentral
GCCUUCGUGGCCCAGUGGAUAGGGCGUCCGCCUCCGGAGCGGAAGGCCGCGGGUUCGAGUCCCGCCGAAGGCACAA